UCCCCCGUGGGGUAAUUGGCAGCCCGCCGACCUUUGGAGUCGGUUGUCUUGGUUCGAGUCCAGGCGGGGGAA
This 72-nucleotide transfer RNA is filed under the name Actinomycetes bacterium. RNAcentral's name for it is "tRNA-Gln". It matches the Rfam family "tRNA". Rfam says of the family: Transfer RNA (tRNA) molecules are approximately 80 nucleotides in length. Their secondary structure includes four short double-helical elements and three loops (D, anti-codon, and T loops). The record is from RNAcentral. Lineage: Bacteria; Bacillati; Actinomycetota; Actinomycetes. RNAcentral also lists the same sequence under 1 other name.